This 706-nucleotide long non-coding RNA is filed under the name Trifolium pratense (red clover). RNAcentral describes it as "long non-coding RNA (TPRA_LNC012248)". The record is from RNAcentral. Lineage: Eukaryota; Viridiplantae; Streptophyta; Magnoliopsida; Fabales; Fabaceae.
UUUUAUCAGGGUUAUUAUCCAUCGUCAAAGGAUCUAAAAGCAAAUAAUAAUUUUGAUUUUAGUUAUGAGAAAAAUAAAAUAAAAUAAAAUCAAUAACGAAGAAGAAUUGAUUCACCUUCUCUUGAUUCUUCAACAAAUGAACAUCAAUUGCAUCAUAUAUAUAAUUAACAUACCAUAUUGUUUCCUCCAUUCUUCAUAUAUAUAAUUAACAUACCAUAUUGUUUCCUCCAUUCUUCAAAUUUCAUAAACCCUAAAAAGAAAAACGAAAACGAAAUUACAUAAACACUAAAAAGAAAAACGAAAUUGCAUAAACCCUAAGUUUUAACAUAAACCACAAUUGCAUAAACCCUAAAAAGAGAAAUUAGAACGAAGAAUGAAAUUAACUGAGAACGAAAUUAGAACGAAGAAUGAAAUUAGAACAAAAUUACCUGCGAACACGAAUUAGGGAACGAUUUGAGGUUGGCCGGUUUCAAGAAGAACGAUUUGAGGAACGAUUUGAGGUUGGCCGGUUUCAAGGAUAACGUUUCGAAGAAGAAGAACGAUUUGAGGAACGAUUUGGGGAACGUGAUUUGGGGUUUCAAUCGAUUUAGGGUUAUUUCGAAGAAGAAGAAGAAGAAGAAGAAGAAGAAGAAGAAGAAGAAGGUGAUUUGUGUUAGCGCGUAGUAUAUGUGUGUGGUACAGAUCGAGGAACCCUUUCUAGUAUGUG